Gasterosteus aculeatus aculeatus (three-spined stickleback) is the source of this 445-nucleotide long non-coding RNA. The record is from Ensembl. NCBI's taxonomy places the organism in Eukaryota, Metazoa, Chordata, Actinopteri, Perciformes, Gasterosteidae.
GGAGCCUCCGGCCGCGGCGCUUGCGGGGGAGUCUCCAGCCGCGGAGGUGGCUGCGGCGUCCGUGAGGCCGUUUCCGGUUCCGGUGCCGCGGGCCGUUGCGCUGCUGUGCCUGACCCACACGGGAUGGCUGUGCCCCGGAGGAUUUUUUAUUCUUGGGGGGGGAUUUUAACUGCACAGAAGAUGCGACCAUAGACCGCAACCACGCAGAGCCACAUCCAGCUUCCCAGCACGCUCUGAGGCAGCUGGUCCAGUCUCAUGGCCUGGUGGAUGUGUGGAGAAGGAUGCAUGCAGACUGCCGACAGUACACGUGGUCCCACCUCAGAGAAGAGCAAGGCUGGACAUCAGCAGCAGUGGUACCCCAGGCCUGAUGGGGGCGCUGCUGAAAGCACGAGUCCUGUGCCUGCAGCAGCUGGUGGACGCAGUGGGGCCGACGCUGAGUGACGCC